This 860-nucleotide ribosomal RNA is filed under the name Bipolaris sp. YPT-2016b. Its description in RNAcentral is "eukaryotic LSU rRNA". The stretch from base 236 to 860 matches the Rfam family "Eukaryotic large subunit ribosomal RNA", at positions 1 to 641 of the family's 3401-position model. Lineage: Eukaryota; Fungi; Ascomycota; Dothideomycetes; Pleosporales; Pleosporaceae. The record is from RNAcentral.
AUCGAAUCUUUGAACGCACAUUGCGCCCUUUGGUAUUCCAAAGGGCAUGCCUGUUCGAGCGUCAUUUGUACCUUCAAGCUUUGCUUGGUGUUGGGCGUUUUUGUCUCUCUUUCUGCGAGACUCGCCUUAAAACGAUUGGCAGCCGGCCUACUGGUUUCGGAGCGCAGCACAUAUCUUGCACUUUGGAUCAGGAGAAAAGGACGGUAAUCCAUCAAGACUCUACAUUUUUAACUUUUGACCUCGGAUCAGGUAGGGAUACCCGCUGAACUUAAGCAUAUCAAUAAGCGGAGGAAAAGAAACCAACAGGGAUUGCCCUAGUAACGGCGAGUGAAGCGGCAACAGCUCAAAUUUGAAAUCUGGCUCUUUCAGAGUCCGAGUUGUAAUUUGCAGAGGGCGCUUUGGCUUUGGCAGCGGUCCAAGUUCCUUGGAACAGGACGUCACAGAGGGUGAGAAUCCCGUACGUGGUCGCUAGCUAUUGCCGUGUAAAGCCCCUUCGACGAGUCGAGUUGUUUGGGAAUGCAGCUCUAAAUGGGAGGUAAAUUUCUUCUAAAGCUAAAUAUUGGCCAGAGACCGAUAGCGCACAAGUAGAGUGAUCGAAAGAUGAAAAGCACUUUGGAAAGAGAGUCAAACAGCACGUGAAAUUGUUGAAAGGGAAGCGCUUGCAGCCAGACUUGCUUGCAGUUGCUCAUCCGGGCUUUUGCCCGGUGCACUCUUCUGUAGGCAGGCCAGCAUCAGUUUGGGCGGUGGGAUAAAGGUCUCUGUCACGUACCUCUCUUCGGGGAGGCCUUAUAGGGGAGACGACAUACCACCAGCCUAGACUGAGGUCCGCGCAUCUGCUAGGAUGCUGGCGUAAUGGCUGU